RNAcentral lists this transfer RNA (74 nucleotides) under Metopograpsus frontalis. RNAcentral describes it as "tRNA-Val". It matches the Rfam family "tRNA". From Rfam's summary of the family: Transfer RNA (tRNA) molecules are approximately 80 nucleotides in length. Their secondary structure includes four short double-helical elements and three loops (D, anti-codon, and T loops). Further hydrogen bonds mediate the characteristic L-shaped molecular structure. tRNAs have two regions of fundamental functional importance: the anti-codon, which is responsible for specific mRNA codon recognition, and the 3' end, to which the tRNAs corresponding amino acid is attached (by aminoacyl-tRNA synthetases). tRNAs cope with the degeneracy of the genetic code in two manners: having more than one tRNA (with a specific anti-codon) for a particular amino acid; and 'wobble' base-pairing, i.e. permitting non-standard base-pairing at the 3rd anti-codon position. Lineage: Eukaryota; Metazoa; Arthropoda; Malacostraca; Decapoda; Grapsidae. The record is from RNAcentral.
CAAAGUGUAGCUUAAAUAAGUUAAGCAUUUCACUUACGUUGAAAAGAUUUAUCGUGCAAAUCGGUUCACUUUGA